RNAcentral lists this long non-coding RNA (2513 nucleotides) under Homo sapiens (human). Its description in RNAcentral is "non-protein coding lnc-TMEM14A-1:4". The record is from RNAcentral. Lineage: Eukaryota; Metazoa; Chordata; Mammalia; Primates; Hominidae.
GGUUGCUCCCCUGCCGGGUGUGUUAGAAGCAAGUUAGAGGAAGAAGGUCUUGGGGACUACGGGCGCCACCGAGAACCCAUACGAGGCAGCCGCCGACGGCGGGUCGCCGGGGCGGGGCCAGAACGGCGCCAAGGCCAACCAGAACGGCGGCAAGAACUAGGGGGACGCGGGGCAGGUGCUGUGGGAGUUGGCUGGACCUGUGGGAUCGACGUCUGCGCCGUCCAGGAGCCGCCCAGGGGAGAGAGCGGAGACUCGGGAGGAGGAUGUGCGCUCCGACCCGGGCAAGGCUUCCCAUCCCUCCCUUCCUCUUCUCUCCUUCCCUCCACCUGGGCUCGGAGUCAGGAUCUGACCGCGGGCUCUGCCCAGGAAGACCGAGUUCCUUGAGAGCGACACCUAAGCGCCGGGGAAGACAGGGAUAGAAGAGACGACAGCCCUUUGAUAAGAGGGUUUUUAGACUAACUUCCACCUGUGACGAGUGCAUGGGGCCUGCGCCCUGAGAGGUUGCCUUUCCUUUUCCUCUCCCACCCUGGGGGUUUGUGGUGAUGUUAAGUUCUGUUAGGACCAAGGUGGAUCUCAGUAAGGAGGUAGAGUAGAUUUGUGAACAGCUGUCGGAGGUAGAAUCUUUGCAGACCCAGAGUGGGUGGGUGUAGACACUUUGCCAUGGGUGGUAGCUUUAUUUGUAAUCCUCCCAGUGAAAGCUUUGGGAAAUCCAGCCCUCCCAAACUCUUGCCUUUCUUGUAAGACUUUCUAAGCGCAUGGCUUUGUCGUAAGACUUCUCGUGGCCAUGUGUCUCACCCUACCGUUCGUCUCACCAAUGAACCAGAGCUGGGAUACCAGCAAAAAGGACCCAAAAGACUGUUUCACCACAAUUGAAGAGGUCGUGGACCAUCCCCCAAAAUGAAUCCCAACACUGGAAGACCAAGAGGGUUGACGUUUGCUAUCUUGAAAGCUGCAGCCCCCGUAGAGAAGAUCCUAGAGCAGAAGGAGCACAGGCUGGGCUGCCAUAGCAUGGACCCCCAAAAAGCCACUGUCAUGAAGAAAUAUCCUGUGAAGAAAAUCUUUGCAGGGCACCUGAACUCCCAAAGCCACUGAGGAGAAGGUAUGGAGGCCAUUGAACUUUCAGUGGAUCCAAAGUCUAACAAAAGACAAUGUCUUGUUUUCGUCACCCCCCAAAGAAGAGGAACCUGUGAGAAAUAUUCUGGAGAAAUUUAACACCAUCAGUGGAAGCAAGGUGAGGAGUCUCUACCUCCAUGUGCCUCCCCUCCUGCCUCUGGAGAGGUAGCCCUUUGGUUAAUGGCAACCCAAUAGGGUAACCAACCAUCCCAUUUUAGCAUUGAGAGCAUUGUGUCCUGGGAGACCCUUCCCUGGAAUGUAAAUAAUCCUGGUUUUAGCAACAAAGUGUGGAAGGUUGGAGGAAAUGCACAAAACCCGUAAGUUUUAGAGGGUCUGAAAGCAACAUUGUCUAUCAAAUGGAUACGGCACAGAUUAUUCAUCUUUACUUGUUGUCACCCAUUUGACCACUGAUACUGGCAACCAUAAUUUGUAGUUCAGAAUGGUCAUCCAUCCAUCGUUGCAUCAUUCAAAGUGAUGUGGCUUAAGUGUAUAUAAUGAUUAUUAAUAGUUCAUCUUCGACUUUGCCUGUGGAUUAAUUGGUGUGCUUUGUAACAAGAUAGUGCUAGUUUAAUUUUUUAACAUUGUGAAUAUUGUGACCAUGUUUUCUAAGAGGUCAGAUAAUGAGAAUGGUUAUAAUACCAAUGCAACCAUGACCCCAUCACUGAAGAAGAAGGCUAAACGACUAUGUAAUUUUGAUGAUGGAUGGAAGGACACAUACUACUGAACUAGGAAGGUAAAUAACCAAAACAGAGCAUACUACAUAAUAUACAGAAAAAAAUUUGAGAUUGGACAUGGUGGAGAAGGGGAUGUGCAAGCACAUAUGGAGGGCAAAUCUCACAAGUAAGAUGGGACAGGUGAAUGCUUCUAAACCAAUCAAAAAUACCUUUGUUUCCCCAAAAGACACCAAUGCUCAGUCAAAAAUAGCAGCUGCUGAAUUAGCAUGGGCAUACCAGGCAAAUAAGCCUGCAUUGUCAUAGCGUUCCCUUGAUUGCUCUAUGAAACUGAGUAAAGUUUCAUUUCCUGAUUCAAGAAUUGCAGCUAAAAUAUCCUCUGGACAAAGAAGAAGGGAAAUUUUUUGAUAACAGAUGUGUUGGCUCCUUACAGUAUAAAGCCAAUUUCUGUCAUAUCUCACCAACAAUCCUGGUUUCUACAGUACAUCAAUUUUAAGUAAUAUGCCAAAUCAUGGCAGCAAAAAUAUGUUCCCUCUAGCUGUUAGGUACUUUGACUUGAAAACAGGAGUUUCAAAUCAUCUUCUUCAUUUCUGUGAGGAUUUUAAUGAAACUGCUGAAAUCAUAAAAUAUUGUUGAUAUUUUGUCUAAAUACAAACUAGACUUAGCUCAUCUAUCUGUGUAUUCGUCAGACAGUAUAGAUGUAAAAUUUUGGCAAAUUGCAUUCAGUCU